Molecule: long non-coding RNA, 1346 nt
Organism: Leptopilina boulardi
Lineage: Eukaryota; Metazoa; Arthropoda; Insecta; Hymenoptera; Figitidae
Exons: 3
Source: RefSeq, a predicted model, not a curated record
GUUGGAUUAUGGUUCAUGUGUCUGACUUGUAUGCGCCAAGUGGGGAUGAAGUUCAGUGGUGGGAUGUUGUGAAUGGUGGGGACUAUAUGAGUACGGAUCUGAUUGGAUGACUUUUUCUGGCUGCGUGUGACGAGACCUGUGUAGUUGGAUUAUGGUUCAUGCGUCUGACUUGUAUGCGCCAAGUGGGGAUGAAGUUCAGUGGUGGGAUAUUGUGAAUGGUGGGGACAAUAUGCACCUCAGGCGAUUCCCAUGGCAAGGCAAGUCAUUCUGUUUCAGCUUCCAGAACCAGCAGCAUCCAGGUGGACCAAGCAGGACUAGGACCAGGACCGGAAUAUUUUUUUGUCUGUUACAGAUUUCCACAGCAAUGGAGGAAACACAGCAGCGACCGAAAUAGAGGGCGCUACAUGUCAACAAAAGUGGGGGAAUUGGAAAAAAGUGGGGAUCCAGGGAUAUAAUAGGUAACGCAAACCUGUUAAGCUCAUUCUGUUUCAGUUUCCAAGAUCAACAACAUCAGCCUCGAUACCAGCAGCAGUAGAAUCCAUACUAAUAACAUCAGGACUCUAGCAGAAUUCAUAUAGCUGGUUUCCAAUGUCAUCAGGACUCUAGCAGUAUUUUUAUAGCGGGGUUCCGAUUUUAACGUCAGCAAAAGCAAUUUUUAUUUCCAAGAAAGGGUAGGGGGUAACCUCAAAACUACGAUCUACACCUUAAAUUUCAUCAUUAAGAGUCAACCUCCAUCGCUAAAGUUAUCCAUGUAAAAUUCAGUGAGGGAUUUAAGCUGAGAGGUUCACUUUGUUGCGGAUAGUAGUAUUUGAAAAGCAAAUUGAACAGACAUUUUAUGUACAUACGCAAUGAGCAUCAUCAACAUUCAAACAUCAACUUCACAUUAAGUGUUUUUCCUCCUUCCGCUAGAGAAUCCUAGGAGCUGAGAAUCAACUUUGGACAACAUUUUUUUGUUUUGUUUCAGCGUCUGCUUUUUGUUUCAGCGUUUGCUUUUUUGUUUCAGCGUUUACUUUUUGUUUCAGCGUUUACUUUUUGUUUCAGCGUUUGCUUUUUGUUUCAGCGUUUACUUUUUGUUUCAGCGUUUGCUUUUUGUUUCAGCGUUUGCUUUUUGUUUCAGUGUUUAGAAUUUUUUUUUUUAAUUGAAAAAUGUCCCAACGUAGAGUUAAUACACCGUACAAACGAGUAGCAUCUCUUGAUAGCAUUAAUGAAAUUUGUGAAGCCUCGCAAAAUUUUAUUGAUGUUGCCGAUAUAGAGUUGCGGUCUGUAACAUCCAAAUCGAAUGAUAAGCGAAUCAUUAGUACAUUUGAGUGGUAUAACAAAUGUAAAAAACAUUACGCAAUUUUAAU